CGUGUAGGCGGUUGGUCAAGUCUGGUGUGAAAGCCCGGGGCUCAGCUCCGGAAGUGCAUCGGAAACUAGCCAGCUUGAGCGCGAUAGAGGAGGGUGGAAUUCCUGGUGUAGCGGUGAAAUGCGUAGAUAUCAGGAGGAACACCGGCGGCGAAGGCGGCCCUCUGGAUCGUUGCUGACGCUGAGACGCGAAAGCGUGGGGAGCAAACAGGAUUAGAUACCCUGGUAGUCCACGCUGUAAACGAUGGGUACUAGGUGUUCGGGGUGUUGACCCCCUGAGUGCCGCAGCUAACGCAUUAAGUACCCCGCCUGGGGACUACGGCCGCAAGGUUAAA
This 332-nucleotide ribosomal RNA is filed under the name uncultured bacterium. RNAcentral describes it as "bacterial SSU rRNA". It matches the Rfam family "Bacterial small subunit ribosomal RNA", at positions 568 to 898 of the family's 1533-position model. The record is from RNAcentral.